This is a long non-coding RNA of Taeniopygia guttata (zebra finch), 2249 nucleotides long. The record is from Ensembl. NCBI's taxonomy places the organism in Eukaryota, Metazoa, Chordata, Aves, Passeriformes, Estrildidae.
AGAAGAUCUACAUUUUUUAUUAUUUAUAUAGCUCCAUAGUUUAUGGUGCUACAUAGGACAAAUCAAAGACAGAUCCCCUGCCCCCUAAGAGCUUACAGUCUAGGUAAGUACAAGAACAAUAGGAGAAGAUACACAGGCAGGAGACAGAGAGGGGUAGUAAAUUAAAAUAAAGACAAUUAGAUUACAGUCACAUGAAAAGCUAAAGUUUUUAUUUUGGUGGAUACAAACUGGGGAGAUGAGUGUUUGAGUAACUUUAUUUUUGAUUAGAACUAGAUUUAAACAAAGGCCAGAAGAAAAGAGCUUUGAAAAUAAAUUUCAUAGUGUCAGAGGUGCUUGUUGGAAGGCAGAGAGGUAAGACUGGAAGAAAACUGGACAUUAGCAUGUUUGAGGUUGGAAAGCAAUGAUAUUUUAAGUAAGAGAAGCCAACCUCAGUGACCCGUUGUUUUCCUAGUCAUCCUUGAAAUUCUGACAGAAACAGUAUCGCUUCUGUACACAUAGUUCUAGCUUAAAUAUUAUAUCCAUAUAUAUCUGGGGCUGUAUUGGAUAAAAUCUUGUUUCCUCUUAAGUAGGAGUUUUGACACUUUUUUCAAAGGAGUAUUUCAGUUAUCAUAUUUUGUGUUUGUUGAUGUAUUUGGAGACUAAGUGAAGUUGUGUCUGAAGUACUUCACAUUUUUCUAAUAUCCUUAAUAUAAAAACAAUAAAACAUUAUUUUAUAGCAUAAUUUUUUACCUCUUAGUAUGAUAUUACCUCUGUUCAUAUUACCUUUCCCCUGAAAAUAUUUUUAUUUUGUAGAAUAUUAGGGCAUUUCUCCUAUUUGUGGCUUUGGAUUUUGGCACAAUAUGUUUUUUUCCCCGAUAAACUAUGUUUUUUCAAUUCUGAAAUAUUAACAGGUUAAUGUAGUAGGACUCAACUGUGUUAUUUUGGGGGUUGUGAACACUCUAUGGAUGAAAUCAGGAAAUAUUAAUGAACAGAGCCUCAAAUAAUAAUAAAAUGAAGGAAAAGGUUAUUUCAAACCUAUACUGAAUUCUUCAACUGAGAAUUGAGACAGAAAUUUCAGAAAGAAAUAUCACAUAUAAAAUCUGCCAGAUACUCCCUGUAUUUGUCUGUACUUCUGUUUACAUAAAAGGAGAAUACCAUUAAAAAGGCCUGCUGAUGUCUAUAAUUGGACAAAUCCGCAUUUACUAUAAAGCACCAGAGAUCUCUUGAUUUCAUCCAACCAUUUGGCUCAUUAUUUAACUACCAGUCCUCCACAAAUGACAUUUAUCAACAUAAAAAGGGGUUUAUCCAUUUUUUUCUAGUUAUCUAUUGCUAUACAACCAUGCUGAGGCAACCUGAAGAUCUAAAUAGUAUCUUUUGUGUCUUAAAAAUGUCUAUUUUCAUUGAAAAAGACACAGGGGAAAAAAAGUCCUGUUCAAUUUUUACCUCCAAUUUUCAUCCACCAGGCAAUGUCAUUUCACUGAGCUAUAACUGCUUUAAAAUUCUUCUCUAGAGUGACAUUUAAAAUCAGUCAGAGAAGCACCCAUCAUCCUGUCCUGAAAUCAGCAGACUUAUUAAGCUUUAUAUGAAACCACAUAAAGCAGUUAUAUAUGGAUUCUUAAUCUUUGUGGCCAGAUCCUGUCUUGAUUUUUGUUGGGAAGUUCCAUAAAUUUUAAUGACAGUACAGGAAUUUAUACAGCAUGAGAACUUUUGAAUUUUGGGAUAAGCCUUUCAGAGGCCUUUCCAAACAAGGAAUUUUUCUUCAGAAUUGAGAAAUAUUUUUGCAGCAGUAACUAGAAAAUGAAGCUUGUAAAGAAACUGAAAGAAAUUGAACUUUUUCAAGUACAAAACUAUCAGUAAUAUUUUCUACUCUUUUGGGGGUCAAGUCUUUAUUAGUCAAUUUUCUGUAAAUGUCUUAAUACAGAAAAAAAGUUCUAAUGCACAAAAAAGUAACAAUAUGAGUUAGUGUAUGAUUGUUGAGAAAAAACCCAUUAUAAUACUGUGAAUCUGUGGAGCCAUGCAUUUCUAGUCUUGACCUUUAAGACAAAUCUCCAGUUACUUUGCAUAUUUCUCUCAAGAAUGGAAGGCUGAAAUUCUGACCAAAAUCUUAAUUAAGCCACACUUCCUGUGAUAGAAGUUUUGUUCCUUGAGGAACUUUAACCCAAUAAAAUAUAUGGGACAUAUUCUGCAUUCACUUUUACUUUGGCUCACAAAAACCUUAAGAGAAUUAGUCUUGAGCAUCAAGGUGAGAAUGAAAUCCUGAUUAUUUCAAC